CGAAAGCGGCUCUCUGGUCUGUAACUGACGCUGAGGCGCGAAAGCGUGGGGAGCAAACAGGAUUAGAUACCCUGGUAGUCCACGCCGUAAACGAUGAGUGCUAAGUGUUAGAGGGUAUCCACCCUUUAGUGCUGUAGCUAACGCAUUAAGCAUUCCGCCUGGGGAGUACGGCCGCAAGGUUAAAACUCAAAGGAAUUGACGGGGGCC
RNAcentral lists this ribosomal RNA (207 nucleotides) under Oxyrrhis marina. RNAcentral's name for it is "partial Bacterial small subunit ribosomal RNA". It matches the Rfam family "Bacterial small subunit ribosomal RNA", at positions 716 to 921 of the family's 1533-position model. The record is from RNAcentral. Lineage: Eukaryota; Dinophyceae; Oxyrrhinales; Oxyrrhinaceae.